Long non-coding RNA from Danio aesculapii, 1351 nucleotides. RefSeq lists it as uncharacterized. NCBI's taxonomy places the organism in Eukaryota, Metazoa, Chordata, Actinopteri, Cypriniformes, Danionidae. The transcript has 2 exons. The record is from RefSeq and is a predicted model, not a curated record.
AAACUUCCCGUCAGUCCCGUCAACACGUUUGGCGUAAAAUAUGUCUGAAUUCAACAUUAAGUAUUUUUUAAGCUAACAUUUGUUGUUUUCGGUGACGUGGACGUGUAUAUCGGUGACGUCAUUUUUGCCCUUAAUGGCUACCGUUUCUCAUGUGAUAGGACAAGGACGUUUAUUGGACAAAGUAUGGACAGGAUUGUCUGUGAGGAUGGAGUAUACAGUAAGGGUAAACGAGAAGAACAAGAAAAAGGCUGCAUCAUCUGCGGUGCUUCUGUUUAACAAAUGAUCCGAUCUUUGGCUCUUUAACUCACAUUGACUUCCUCCCUGCUCCGUCUUUCUCAUUCCUUUUCCGUCUCUCAUUUAGUCCUGUCAGCAUACUGUCCAUACUUUCUCCUACUCCUGUUUCAGCCGGUAUUGGGGCGUAGCGCUAUAUGUAGCUCUCUUUUUUUUCUUAGGACAGGUGGGGAGGUGAUAAUCGUAGGUCUUUGGGGUCGUUUUAUCUUACCUGGUCUCAUUAUUUUUGUAAUAAUUUGCUAUCCUUUUUUUGCGCCAUGAAGAACUGAGGACACUCUGGUAUUGACAGCAAUGCUCUGCAUUUCUUUUCAUCCCCAUCUCUUUCUCAUCUGUACACCCCCCCACCCUCUCUCGCUCCCUCUCUCUUUCCUCUCAUCCUCAAAUUCUCAAACGCUGAAUCAGCUGCUUGGGAAUGGACGCUCCCCCUGCAUCUUGGAUGCACAAGCUGCCUCUCCCCGGUUCUGCUCUUGUCCUGCAUUUGGGAUUCUGGUCUCCCCCUAAAAUGCUUUGCUAAAGCUGGUAAAAUGGAACCAAAUCAACUGUUUUAUGGAUUUGGUCCCCUUCAACCAGCUGUAGCUGUGCAUUGAUCACCCCGUGGAGCUCUGAUGAAGAAAGCACAAUAUUUGCUCUGUCUGGAUCACAAUGCAAGACCGGCUGUUGAAUGAAUGUCCCUUUAAGCACUAAUAUCAUGAUUAAACACUCUUUGUCCUCUUAAGACCCAGGUGAGUAUUAUAUAUGUCAUGUCACAUUUUUUAUUUAUGAGCUAUAAUUGUUGAUUAUGUAUUCAAGCCAAAUCACUAUCAUUGAAAAGAGGCUCUGGGCUCUUUAUGGCCUGCCAUUGAUUUCUUGUCUCUGGGCUGAAAGAGUGAGAGCGGGGGAUGAGCCAGGUUGGAUGGAUGUAGGGAACGAAGGAGGGGUGUGUGCGUGCGUGUGUGUGUCAAAGCUGUUGAAUAAGUAAAACAGUCGUUCCUUUUCUCUCUCUCCCUCUCUUGCUUCUACACUUGUCGUGAUUCUUAAUGCACAUGCUUGAUCAAUAAAAGCUCAUCCUGAAGUUCAUAAA